RNAcentral lists this ribosomal RNA (292 nucleotides) under uncultured bacterium. RNAcentral describes it as "partial 16S ribosomal RNA". It matches the Rfam family "Bacterial small subunit ribosomal RNA", at positions 505 to 796 of the family's 1533-position model. The record is from RNAcentral.
GUGCCAGCAGCCGCGGUAAUACGAAGGGGGCUAGCGUUGCUCGGAAUUACUGGGCGUAAAGGGAGCGUAGGCGGAUAGUUUAGUCAGAGGUGAAAGCCCAGGGCUCAACCUUGGAAUUGCCUUUGAUACUGGCUAUCUUGAGUACGGAAGAGGUAUGUGGAACUCCGAGUGUAGAGGUGAAAUUCGUAGAUAUUCGGAAGAACACCAGUGGCGAAGGCGACAUACUGGUCCGUUACUGACGCUGAGGCUCGAAAGCGUGGGGAGCAAACAGGAUUAGAAACCCCCGUAGUCC